Molecule: transfer RNA, 83 nt
Filed under: Schistocephalus solidus
Lineage: Eukaryota; Metazoa; Platyhelminthes; Cestoda; Diphyllobothriidea; Diphyllobothriidae
Rfam family: tRNA
About the family: Transfer RNA (tRNA) molecules are approximately 80 nucleotides in length. Their secondary structure includes four short double-helical elements and three loops (D, anti-codon, and T loops).
Source: Rfam by way of RNAcentral
GGCCUCGUAGCUCAGUUGGCUAGAGCUUUGGCUGUACUAAAGCCUUCCCCUUGCUGGCGUGGGUUCGAAUCUCACCGAAGCCG